UGCAUCCCCAGAACUGAGUUUCAAGCUAG
Molecule: non-coding RNA, 29 nt
Filed under: Mus musculus (house mouse)
Lineage: Eukaryota; Metazoa; Chordata; Mammalia; Rodentia; Muridae
Source: RNAcentral